Molecule: ribosomal RNA, 429 nt
Filed under: Bacillota bacterium
Lineage: Bacteria; Bacillati; Bacillota
Also listed under: 2 other names
Description: Firmicutes bacterium partial 16S ribosomal RNA
Rfam family: Bacterial small subunit ribosomal RNA
Source: RNAcentral
UGGGGAAUUUUGCGCAAUGGGCGAAAGCCUGACGCAGCAACGCCGCGUGGGUGAUGAAGGUCUUCGGAUCGUAAAACCCUGUCGUCGGGGACGAAGGUGGAGGGGUUAAUAGCCUCUUUGCUUGACGGUACCCGGAGAGGAAGCCCCGGCUAACUCUGUGCCAGCAGCCGCGGUAAUACAGAGGGGGCAAGCGUUAUUCGGAAUUAUUGGGCGUAAAGGGCGCGUAGGCGGCUUUUUAAGUGAGAUGUGUAAUCCCUGAGCUCAACUUGGGAACUGCAUCUCAUACUGGGAGGCUAGAGUACUGGAGAGGGUGGUAGAAUUCCACGUGUAGCGGUGAAAUGCGUAGAGAUGUGGAGGAAUACCAGUGGCGAAGGCGGCCACCUGGACAGUAACUGACGCUGAGGCGCGAAAGUGUGGGUAGCAAACAGG